AUGUUAGUGGCAGACGGGUGAGUAUGCGUAGGAAUCUACCUAGUAGUACGGAAUAGCCAUUAGAAAUGGUGGGUAAUACUGUAUAAUCCCCGAGGGGGAAAGAUUUAUCGCUAUUAGAUGAGCCUACGUUAGAUUAGCUAGUUGGUGAGGUAAUGGCUUACCAAGGCUAUGAUCUAUAGCUGGUCUGAGAGGACGAUCAGCCACACUGGAACUGAGAUACGGUCCAGACUCCUACGGGAGGCAGCAGUGGGGAAUAUUGGACAAUGGGCGAAAGCCUGAUCCAGCUAUGCCGCGUGAGUGAAGAAGGCCUUCGGGUUGUAAAACUCUUUCAAUAGGGAAGAUAAUGACGGUACCUAUAA
This 359-nucleotide ribosomal RNA is filed under the name Ehrlichia canis. RNAcentral's name for it is "bacterial SSU rRNA". It matches the Rfam family "Bacterial small subunit ribosomal RNA", at positions 89 to 484 of the family's 1533-position model. The record is from RNAcentral. Lineage: Bacteria; Pseudomonadati; Pseudomonadota; Alphaproteobacteria; Rickettsiales; Anaplasmataceae.